This 28-nucleotide small RNA is filed under the name Bombyx mori (domestic silkworm). RNAcentral's name for it is "ovarian small RNA-21852". The record is from RNAcentral. Lineage: Eukaryota; Metazoa; Arthropoda; Insecta; Lepidoptera; Bombycidae.
UAGAAUCGAAAUCACACUUUCUCCGCCC